This 1120-nucleotide long non-coding RNA is filed under the name Triticum aestivum (bread wheat). Its description in RNAcentral is "long non-coding RNA (TAES_LNC023553)". The record is from RNAcentral. Lineage: Eukaryota; Viridiplantae; Streptophyta; Magnoliopsida; Poales; Poaceae.
GUAAGUUGAAUGGCUGGAGAUGCUCAAAAGAUGUAACAAAGAGAGAAGAUAAGAGGGAGAGAGAGAAGGAGAAGAGGGAGUACUCGAUUCGAUCUGCAGGAGAGAGAGAAGAUAAGAGGGAGAGAGAGAAGGAAGGAGAGGAGGGAGAACUCCGUUGCCGCCGCGUGCCGUACUUCUGGAUCGAGCGCUGCCUGACCAAGGGAUAAGAGUAGGAGGUAAAAACCCUAGCCACCAUGCUCCCGUGCGGGCUGCAUCCCCGCAUCUCCCUCUUCGUUGCUCUGCUUCUUCCCCUGAUUCCUCUUUUUCGUUUUUUCUCUUUGUGGCGCCGCCAAGGAUGAGUGGAGCAGCUGCUGAAGCAGGCGCGGCGCUGGUGCGCUGCUGGCGAAGCGGUGGUCAACGGUGCCGUCGACGUCGUCCUUGGCAGAAGGUAAGCCUAGAUCAAUCUCACAAUAUUCCUUUGUCGUCUGUGUUCUUAUGCAACUUAGUGAUUGGACUUUCUCUGUUAUGUUUCACAAAUUGCUACUUUUAGUUAUCCCCAUUGGCUUGUGCAUAUGCUUCUGCUGGGUCGUUCUUGUUUAUUUUCUCUAUCCAACAUUGUGGCAGGUUGGUGUUUCCUCUCUUUCUCACUGCAGCUACCUAUGCCUCUAUUAUUCUAGGAUUUUGCAAGUUAAAUACUCAUGUGUGCUGAACUGAAAAGUUCUCUAUGCAACAUCUAUUGCAGGUUGGUGUUUCCUACCUAUGCCUCUAUUAUUCUAGGAUUUUGAAAGUUAAUUGCUCAUGUGUGCUGAAUUGAAAAGCUCAAUGAAAGGCACUUAUUUCUACGCACAAAUGCUUUUGUUGCUAUAAGAAUCUGUAGAGAAGAAAUAUAUAUGUCUCCUCCGUUCAUUGCCCUUUUUUUGCGGGUAGUUCAUUGCCAUUUUGGAUUCAUAUGUGAAGUCUAUUGUUGUUAAUUACAGUUAACUAAUUUAUUAAUUCAUGGUUGUUUUAGUUGCUGACCAUAUGAUUGGUAGCCUUGGACAGAAGAGGGCCAGCAACAAACAUAAGCAAUCACUGUCCUGUCCAGAACAUGUAUAUCUUCAGUUUUGGUUGCCUUCCGUUUACUUGCCAACAAGCGACACUG